CCUACGGGUGGCUGCAGUGGGGAAUAUUGGACAAUGGGCGAAAGCCUGAUCCAGCCAUGCCGCGUGUGUGAAGAAGGCCUUCGGGUUGUAAAGCACUUUCAGUGGGGAAGAAAGCCUUGGGGCUAAUACCCUCGAGGAAGGACAUCACCCACAGAAGAAGCACCGGCUAACUCCGUGCCAGCAGCCGCGGUAAUACGGAGGGUGCGAGCGUUAAUCGGAAUUACUGGGCGUAAAGCGCGCGUAGGCGGUCUGAUAAGCCGGUUGUGAAAGCCCCGGGCUCAACCUGGGAACGGCAUCCGGAACUGUCAGGCUAGAGUGCAGGAGAGGAAGGUAGAAUUCCCGGUGUAGCGGUGAAAUGCGUAGAUAUCGGGAGGAAUACCAGUGGCGAAGGCGGCCUUCUGGACUGACACUGACGCUGAGGUGCGAAAGCGUGGGUAGCAAACAGGAUUAGAUACCCCGGUAGUC
Molecule: ribosomal RNA, 465 nt
Filed under: Vreelandella stevensii
Lineage: Bacteria; Pseudomonadati; Pseudomonadota; Gammaproteobacteria; Oceanospirillales; Halomonadaceae
Description: partial 16S ribosomal RNA
Rfam family: Bacterial small subunit ribosomal RNA
Source: RNAcentral